Long non-coding RNA from Bos grunniens (domestic yak), 3023 nucleotides. Lineage: Eukaryota; Metazoa; Chordata; Mammalia; Artiodactyla; Bovidae. The record is from Ensembl.
AUGUAUUUAUUCACAGCCAUAUAUAGAACAAUUUCAGUGACUCAGUUGUGUCUUAUGCCCCCAAGUCCACUUCCUUACUGGACACUCAGGGAGAUGGAGGGGAUGGAAUGCACCUCAAUCCUGGCGGCAGAAGAAGGAUGGAUGGAGUUCCACUGUUUUGGUUACUGCUCUGCUGAGCAUACUUCCUGGGUUGCUGAGCUCAGGCAGGGGGCCUCACACCAGGCUAUGACCAGUGGUUCCUCUGACCAGAGGUUGGAGCUGAGGGAAGAGAUCUGUUACCAGGGAAAUGGAAGCUGGGCCCAUGUGAUUUGAGAAGAAUGGAAAAAGAGCUAAGUAGAAUUUCAGAUGCAGAGUAGGUUCUGGGAGCCUGUUCAGAGCCAUUGAUUUGUGGUUACACAACUAGCGCCUGUGCGUGACCACAGAGACAUACUAGACAUGUGUGCACUCAAUGGGGAUUCUGUCCUGAUGUGCACAGCAACUGUUUCUGGAGGGAGCAUCUAGCAUAUGUGGAGGAGGCUGGACCCAGAACGUGGAAGGAGCAGGACAAUCCUCGUUGUUACAAAAAGCAAGGGCGUAUCUUUUCACACAUGUCUCACUUGGACAUCUGCAUUACCUUCCUAAACUGCUUUCAGUUCAGCUCAGUCGCUCAGUCGUGUCCGACUCUUUGCGACCCAUGAACCAUAACCAUGAGCCCCUGUCCAUCACCAACUCCAGGAGUCCACCCAAACCCAUGUCCAUUGUGUCGGUGAUGCCAUCCAUCCAUCUCAUUCUUUGAUGUCCCCUUCUCCUCCUGCCCUUAAUCUUUCCCAGCAUCAGGGUCUUUUCAAAUGAGUCAGCUCUCCACAUCGGGUGGCCAAAGUACUGGAGUUUCAGCUUCAACACCAGUCCCUCCAAAGAACACCCAGGACUGAUCUCUUUUAGGAUGGACUGAUUGGACCUCCUUGCAGUCCCAGGGACUCUCAAGAGUCUUCUCCAACACCACAAAUCAAAACCAUCAAUUCUUCGGCACUCAGCUUUCUUCACAGUCCAACUCUCACAUCCAUACAUGACCACUGGAAAAACCAUAGCCUUGACUAGAUGGACCUUUGUUGGCAAAGUAAUGUCUCUGUUUUUCAAUAUGCUAUCUAGGUUGCUCAUAACUUUUCUUCCAAGGAGUAAGCCUCUUUUAAUCUCAAAAUCAAGAUUACAGUGAAGUACUUCCUCAUACCUGUCAAGUAGCGAUUAUCAAAAAGACAACAAGUAAGUGUUUGUGAGGAUGUAGAGAAAAGGAAACACUCAUGCGAUGUUGGUAGGAAUGUACACUGGUGCAGCCACUAUGGAGACAAUGAGGGUUUCCUCAAAAACUGAAAAUCAGAACUACCAUAUGAUCCAGGAAUUCCACUUCUUAGUAUUUUUCUGAAUAAUAGAAGAAACGCUAGUCACAAAAGAUAUAUGUGCUCCUCUGUUCACUGCAGCAUUAUUUAAAAUAUCUGAGAUAUUGAAGGAACAUAAGUGCCCAUUGAUAGAUGAAUCAAAAAGGAAGAAAUGGUAUACACAGACACAUACAGACAAUGGACUUUUACUCGGCAAUAAGAAAGAAUGCAAUCUUGUCAUUGUUGACAACAUGAAGGGACCUAGACAGUAUUACACCAAGUGAAACUAGGCACACAGAGAAAGACAAAUAUCACACAGCUUUGUUUAUAAGUGGAACCUCAGAAAUAAAAUAAGAGAACAUGGGAAACAAGACAGAAAUAGAGUAAGAGACACAGAGAACAAACUGGUGUUUACCAGAGGAGGAAGGAGUAAGGAGAUGUAUAAAACAGGGAAGGGAUUAUGGGACACAAACUUCCAGUUAUAAAAUAAGUCAUGGGAAUGGAAUAUACACAGGGAAUAUAGUCAAUAACCUCGUAAUAAAUCUCUAUGGUGACAGAUGGUAACCAAACUUAUCCUAGUAAUUCAUUUCACAAUCUUUAAAAAUAUGGAAUCACUCUGUUGUGCACUUGAAACCAAUAUAAUAGCAAAUGUCAACUUUGGGCUUCCCCAGUGGCUCGGUGGUAAAUAAUCCUCCUCCAAUGCUGGAGCUACAAGAGGCAUGGGUUCAAUUCCUGGGUCGGGAAGAUCCCAAGGAGGAGGUCAAGGCUAUCCCAAGAAUACCCACUCUAGUAUUCUUGCCUGAAAAAUCCCAUGGACAGAGGAGCCUGGCAGGCUACAGUCAUGUGGUCGCAAAGAGUUGGACAUGGCUGAUGUGACAACAUGCACACACGCAUGGCAACUUUACUGAGAAAUAAAGAGUGUGGGCUCUGAAUGGAGGAUGCCGAGGUUUGUGGGUCAAUUUUCCUCUGACGGCCUAUAUGACUUGGAGGAAUCCCCCUAACUUCUCUGUCUUCUGCUUUCUCACCUCAUCAAAUAGGAUUGAAGUCUUCCAAAAUGAUGGGUCUGUGAAGGAGGAUUAAGUAAGGUGACAGAAAGAAAUAUACUUGAUGUGGUCUGAUACCUGGUAAAGGAUGAACAAACUUGAAAUGCCAUGUUACUCCUGCUAAACGUACCCACAGGAACUAAAUUCAGCCCCUGAGUUUCAAGAAAACAGGCCCUGCUUAACUUACCUAUUCCCUUGGAGCUGGGAGACAAGUCUUCCAAGAUAAGUUGGGCUCUGAAGCUCUCUGAUGAGAUCACAAGUUCAGAAACCAAAAAAUUCACCUGUUCACAGAAAGCCUAUGCAUUCCUAUACACUAACAAUGAAAAAUCAGAAAGAGAAAUUAAGGAAACAAUCCCAUUCACCAUUGCAAUGAAAAGAAUAAAAUACUUAGGAAUAAAUUUACCUACAGAAACAAAACACCUCUAGUACCCAAAGCAAUCUAUAGAUUCAAUACAAUCCUGAUUGAACUACCAACAGUAUUUUUCACAGAGCUAGAACAAAUAAGCUUCCUUGAUAGCUAAGAAAGUGGAGAAAACCACUACACCAUUCAGGUAUGACCUAAAUCAAAUCUCUUAUGACUAUACAGUGGAAGUGAGAAAUAGAUUUAAGGGACUAGAUCUGACAGAGA